UGCCAGCAGCCGCGGUAAUACGGAGGGUGCGAGCGUUAAUCGGAAUUACUGGGCGUAAAGCGCGCGUAGGCUGUCAGUUAAGCGGGAUGUGAAAGCCCUGGGCUCAACCUAGGAACUGCAUCCCGAACUGGCUGACUAGAGUGCAGUAGAGGGUGGUGGAAUUUCCAGUGUAGCGGUGAAAUGCGUAGAGAUUGGAAGGAACACCAGUGGCGAAGGCGACCACCUGGACUGACACUGACGCUGAGGUGCGAAAGCGUGGGGAGCAAACAGGAUUAGAUA
RNAcentral lists this ribosomal RNA (279 nucleotides) under uncultured bacterium. RNAcentral's name for it is "partial 16S ribosomal RNA". It matches the Rfam family "Bacterial small subunit ribosomal RNA", at positions 506 to 784 of the family's 1533-position model. The record is from RNAcentral.